CCUACGGGAGGCAGCAGUGAGGAAUAUUGGUCAAUGGGCGCGAGCCUGAACCAGCCAAGUCGCGUGAGGGAUGACGGUCCUACGGAUUGUAAACCUCUUUUGCCGGGGAGCAAGCGUGCGUUCGUGAACGCGCGUCGAGAGUACCCGGAGAAAAAGCUCCGGCUAACUACGUGCCAGCAGCCGCGGUAAUACGUAGGGAGCGAGCGUUGUCCGGAAUUACUGGGUGUAAAGGGAGCGUAGGCGGGACUGCAAGUUGGGUGUCAAAUCUACCGGAUCAACCGGUAGCCGCACUCAAAACUGCAGUUCUUGAGUGAAGUAGAGGCAGGCGGAAUUCCUAGUGUAGCGGUGAAAUGCGUAGAUAUUAGGAGGAACACCAGUGGCGAAGGCGGCCUGCUGGGCUUUUACUGACGCUGAGGCUCGAAAGUGUGGGGAGCAAACAGGAUUAGAUACCCGAGUAGUC
This 460-nucleotide ribosomal RNA is filed under the name uncultured bacterium. RNAcentral's name for it is "partial 16S ribosomal RNA". It matches the Rfam family "Bacterial small subunit ribosomal RNA", at positions 338 to 795 of the family's 1533-position model. The record is from RNAcentral.